GACGAACGCUGGCGGCGUGCUUAACACAUGCAAGUCGAACGGAAAGGCCCUGCUGUGGUGUCGUGCUCGAAUGGCGAAAGUGUGAGGAACACGUGCGUAACCUCCCCUUGACUUUGGCAUAACUUCCUGGAACUGGGGCUAAUACCGGAUACGCGCUCCUGCGUCAUUGUGGGGGUUGGAAAGUUUCGGCGGAUGGGGAUGGGCUCGCGGCGUAUCAGCUUGUGGGUGGGGUAGUGGCUUACCAAGGCUUUGACGGGUAGCCGGCCUGAGAGGGUGACCGGCCACAUUGGGACUGAGAUACGGCCCAGACUCCUACGGGAGGCAGCAGUGGGGAAUAUUGCACAAUGGGCGGAAGCCUGAUGCAGCAACGCCGCGUGCGGGAUGACGGCCUUCGGGUUGUAAACCGCUUUCGCCUGGGACGAAGCGUGAGUGACGGUAAUGGGUGAAGAAGCACCGGCCAACUACGUG
This 468-nucleotide ribosomal RNA is filed under the name uncultured bacterium. RNAcentral describes it as "partial 16S ribosomal RNA". It matches the Rfam family "Bacterial small subunit ribosomal RNA", at positions 28 to 507 of the family's 1533-position model. The record is from RNAcentral.